Long non-coding RNA from Megalopta genalis, 855 nucleotides. RefSeq lists it as uncharacterized. Lineage: Eukaryota; Metazoa; Arthropoda; Insecta; Hymenoptera; Halictidae. The record is from RefSeq and is a predicted model, not a curated record.
GGCAUGUAUCUAUCGUGUGCGCUACACCUAUGCAUCAUGUCAGGGUUACAAAUUGUCGCGAGGACUGUUAACGUUACGUCGGCUAUUUCUUAAUGGAAACGAAUUUGAACAUUUGCUCGGAGUAUUUCCGAUUUCAAAAUCACACUCGAUGCAAGUUUCACUCGGUAACCGUUUCGAGAACCGAAUUACAUCUUUAGAAAGCGCAUCGUUCGAUUUGCAACCCUUCCAACUUCCAACUACAGUGAGGGUAAGCGGUUAUGCAGACAAAAGAAGGUGGCUUUGACGGCGCAUGCGUGCGAAGCGUUUGUACCGCGCUUGCGCCUACGAACCGAAUCGACGAGUAGAGGUGGUUCGCCUAACAUAGCGGGGAAAGGUACUGGAAACAGCUGGCAGAUUAUCAAGGUCUAUUCGAAUGACAGCCACACGUCACACCUCCGGUCGAGCCCCCUCUGUCGACCAAUGGAAGGCCCGGAUUCGACUCGGUCUCUUUACCACUUGUACACAUGCAAAUUACAUCUACGAGUUCAUCGAACAAUGGCUAUCUAGCAGCAGACAGACGCAUAGAGCCAUUUGCGCAGCUGCGUUUGUGUUUCAUUAACCAGUUACGCUAAUAGUAGAAUCGUGUGAACAUACUUACGUUCGUAUGAUGCCAGUAUUCAAUGAGGCCCAGGAGAUCGGUACUUGGUGCAUAAAGUAGAAAAUCUCGCCACUCGUUGAAGCUAAUAGUAAGACUUCCAUCUUUGUCCAUUCUAUAAAUCGGACAAUAGAAGCCAUAUAAAUCGAUAGCGAUGAAGAAUGUUCAAAAUAAAACGUCUUGACAUAUUAUAAAUAAAAAAAAAAAUUUGUAUCAACGGA